GUGCAGGGAAGGCGGUGGGUAAGAGUCCCCACUCCCGUAAAGCUUCGGCCUGGGGGCGGGAGAGGGGAGGCAGUGAAGGGGGAUGCUGUGUAGGAAAGGAAGCUGAGUGGGGUGGGGAGUGAGGGUACUGUUUUCUGUCCGGUGAUCUGGGAAGGCCUCCCUGAUAAGGUGACUAACAGAUCUGAAGGACAUGAGGGAGAGAGCCAUGCUGGUGUCUGGAGGGUGGAGGCACCAGCGGGCGCAGGGGGCGGCAGGAGCUUGUCAUGUUGAGGGACGGCACCGAGGCCAGAAUGGGCGGCCGGGGGGAGUGUGGUAGGAGGUGAGGGCGACACUUUGGACUGGAAGCAAAGGAAUGACAGAAUGACAUGAUGUAGCUUGGGUUGCACUUGUUUAUUUUCAUAUUUGCUUUCUAAAAAAACAAAUGGGUAAUGUUUGCACAUGAUUCAAAAAUUAAAAUGUAUAAAAAGACUCUGGUGAACUCCAGUUCUCACCCCUUAAGUUCCUGUACCUCAAGCAUGCCUUUUUUAUAUUUUACCACUUCACUAGUUUAGGGGUGUCCUUCCAAAGUUUCUUUAUAUAAAUAGAAGCAAAUAGAAAUAUAUGUAUCUUACUUUUCCCUCUUUGUUGUACCAAAGGUAUAACAUAUUGUUCAGCACCCUGUAUUUCUCAUAUAAUAUAUCUUGGAGUCCUUUCCAUAACAAUACUCAGAUGCCUUUUUUUACACUGAUGCACAGUAUUCAUCAUGUGGAUAAAGAUGUAUGGUAACUUAUUUAGCCAGUCCCAAAUUGAUGGACACUUAGGUUACCUCCAGCCAUUAUUAUGAACUGUGCUGCAGUGAACAAUCUUAUGAUUUAUUAUUCUGUACAAUUUAGGGUAGUUGUAAUUACAUCAGUCAGCAGAGAUGGGGUUCUUGAGUCAAGGAUAAACAUCUUACCAAGUUACCGCCCAUAGGAAUGGUAUGAAAAUGCCUGUGUCUUCAGUCUUAACAACGUGUGGUUAAAUUUUUGGAUUUUGUGACUCUUCUGGGUGAAACGGUAUUUUAAUAGUUUCACUUUCCUUGAUAUGAAUGAAGUUGAGCAUCUUCUGAUUUGUUUUAAAACGGUCACUUGGGAUGCUGUGCUGACAGGAGACGGUGAGGAGGGGAUGUGAGAAGCUCAGAGUUUAGCUGAAAUGCUGUUGCCCCGGAGCACUGCAGCAUUUACCAGUUGGAGAACUGAGGAGAAGCCAGCAAAGGAGUCUAAGAAGUGGCCAGUGAGGUACAGCUGAACCGCGGUGCAGACACAUUGCAGUCAGGCCCUCAUUGGUACCCUGGACGCUGAUUUCCCCGCGUGUCUUCCACCCACACCUGCGACGAGUAACUUCACCUGUUGUUAAUUUAAGAUGUUUCAUAGCAACCUGUGGAGCGCCUGCAUUU
Camelus dromedarius (Arabian camel) is the source of this 1414-nucleotide long non-coding RNA. RefSeq lists it as uncharacterized. The record is from RefSeq and is a predicted model, not a curated record. NCBI's taxonomy places the organism in Eukaryota, Metazoa, Chordata, Mammalia, Artiodactyla, Camelidae. The transcript is spliced from 2 exons.